RNAcentral lists this ribosomal RNA (253 nucleotides) under uncultured bacterium. Its description in RNAcentral is "partial 16S ribosomal RNA". It matches the Rfam family "Bacterial small subunit ribosomal RNA", at positions 524 to 776 of the family's 1533-position model. The record is from RNAcentral.
UACGUAGGGUGCGAGCGUUAAUCGGAAUUACUGGGCGUAAAGCGUGCGCAGGCGGUUCGUGAUGUCUGAUGUGAAAGCCCCGGGCUCAACCUGGGAAUUGCAUUGGAAACUAGCGGGCUGGAGUGUGGCAGAGGGGGGUGGAAUUCCACGUGUAGCAGUGAAAUGCGUAGAGAUGUGGAGGAACACCGAUGGCGAAGGCAGCCCCCUGGGCUAACACUGACGCUCAUGCACGAAAGCGUGGGUAGCAAACAGG